This 253-nucleotide ribosomal RNA is filed under the name uncultured bacterium. Its description in RNAcentral is "partial 16S ribosomal RNA". It matches the Rfam family "Bacterial small subunit ribosomal RNA", at positions 524 to 776 of the family's 1533-position model. The record is from RNAcentral.
UACGUAGGAUGCGAGCGUUUUCCGGAGUUAUUGGGCGUAAAGCGCACGUAGGCGGUGCGGUAAGUGUGGUGUGAAAUCUGCGGGCUUAACCCGCAGCGGUCGCUGCAGACUGCCGUGCUUGAGGGCUGGAGAGGAAGAUGGAAUUCCCGGUGUAGUGGUGAAAUGCGUAGAUAUCGUAAGGAAGACCAGUGGCGAAGGCGGGUCUCUGGACAGUUCCUGACGCUGAGGCACGAAGGUCAGGUGAGCAAACGGG